Molecule: long non-coding RNA, 255 nt
Organism: Ylistrum balloti
Lineage: Eukaryota; Metazoa; Mollusca; Bivalvia; Pectinida; Pectinidae
Exons: 2
Source: RefSeq, a predicted model, not a curated record
AGACACAAAAGAUGUGUAUCAAGCUCUCGAAUCCACAUGCUGGACCACAGGUGAUGCUUGUCAACUCUGGCGAGGAGCAUCACACAGCGAUGGGGAGCCCAUUUUCUCCUUUGCGCUCCCAAUAACAUUAUGUCAAAAUCUGCAGAGCCAUAGUUUUGGUGCGUAAAGAAUUCGUGUGCAUAGAAAUGUCUGCCUGCCAUAGUGGAAGGGGUUGCUUCCGACGAUGCAUAAUAAAACUCCCUGAAAAGCCGUUUA